RNAcentral lists this non-coding RNA (45 nucleotides) under Schistosoma mattheei. Lineage: Eukaryota; Metazoa; Platyhelminthes; Trematoda; Strigeidida; Schistosomatidae. The record is from RNAcentral.
AUUCAGCUGAUGAGUCCCAAGUAGAACGAAACGCGCAUCCUGUAU